Molecule: non-coding RNA, 21 nt
Filed under: Arabidopsis thaliana (thale cress)
Lineage: Eukaryota; Viridiplantae; Streptophyta; Magnoliopsida; Brassicales; Brassicaceae
Source: RNAcentral
UAUCAACAGUGCCUCAAUGUA